AUCCAGCCGACGUGUCCAAAAUGGGACGAAACACACGUCCUGGAU
Non-coding RNA from Schistosoma curassoni, 45 nucleotides. The record is from Rfam. Lineage: Eukaryota; Metazoa; Platyhelminthes; Trematoda; Strigeidida; Schistosomatidae.